GAUGAACGCUGGCGGCGUGCCUAACACAUGCAAGUCGAACGGAGUCCAGCCUUUAAGACCUUCGGGUCAAAGAGGGGAAGACUGAGUGGCGGACGGUUGAGUAACACGUGGGCAACCUGGCUCAUAGAGGGGGAUAACAGAGAGAAAUUUCUGCUAAUACCGCAUAAGCACACACUGCCGCAUGGCGGAGGGUGAAAAGAGAAUCGCUAUGAGAUGGACCCGCGUCUGAUUAGCCAGUUGGCAGGGUAAGAGCCUACCAAAGCGACGAUCAGUAGCCGAUCUGAGAGGAUGAACGGCCACAUUGGGACUGAGACACGGCCCAAACUCCUACGGGAGGCAGCAGUGGGGGAUAUUGCACAAUGGGGGGAACCCUGAUGCAGCGACGCCGCGUGAGUGAAGAAGUAUUUCGGUAUGUAAAGCUCUAUCAGCAGGGAAGAUAAUGACAGUACCUGAAUAAGAAGCCCCGGCUAACUACGUG
This 478-nucleotide ribosomal RNA is filed under the name uncultured bacterium. RNAcentral describes it as "partial 16S ribosomal RNA". It matches the Rfam family "Bacterial small subunit ribosomal RNA", at positions 28 to 507 of the family's 1533-position model. The record is from RNAcentral.